GCGACCCCAGGUCAGGCGGGACUACCCGCUGAGUUUAAGCAUAUAAAUAAGCGGAGGAGAAGAAACUUACAAGGAUUCCCCUAGUAACGGCGAGCGAACCGGG
Molecule: ribosomal RNA, 103 nt
Filed under: Chusquea leptophylla
Lineage: Eukaryota; Viridiplantae; Streptophyta; Magnoliopsida; Poales; Poaceae
Also listed under: 6 other names
Description: partial 26S ribosomal RNA
Rfam family: Eukaryotic large subunit ribosomal RNA
Source: RNAcentral